RNAcentral lists this ribosomal RNA (497 nucleotides) under uncultured bacterium. RNAcentral describes it as "partial 16S ribosomal RNA". It matches the Rfam family "Bacterial small subunit ribosomal RNA", at positions 28 to 507 of the family's 1533-position model. The record is from RNAcentral.
GACGAACGCUGGCGGCGUGCCUAAUACAUGCAAGUCGAACGCUGAAGAGAGGAGCUUGCUCUUCUUGACUGAGUUGCGAACGGGUGAGUAACGCGUAGGUAACCUGCCUUGUAGCGGGGGAUAACUAUUGGAAACGAUAGCUAAUACCGCAUAACAAUGGGUGACACAUGUCAUUUAUUUGAAAGGGGCAAUUGCUCCACUACAAGAUGGACCUGCGUUGUAUUAGCUAGUAGGUGAGGUAACGGCUCACCUAGGCGACGAUACAUAGCCGACCUGAGAGGGUGAUCGGCCACACUGGGACUGAGACACGGCCCAGACUCCUACGGGAGGCAGCAGUAGGGAAUCUUCGGCAAUGGGGGCAACCCUGACCGAGCAACGCCGCGUGAGUGAAGAAGGUUUUCGGAUCGUAAAGCUCUGUUGUAAGUCAAGAAUGAGUGUGAGAGUGGAAAGUUCACACUGUGACGGUAGCUUACCAGAAAGGGACGGCUAACUACGUG